AAGGGGCCAGAAGGAUGAUGCUCCAAGAAGUGCAGAGGGGUUGCCUCCCUUUGAAGCAAACUUUGAACCAUGGAGAGGGAGGCCGGACAGAAGGUGACAAGUAACAUUCCAGAUGGCAGAGUCUCCUUCAGCCUGAGCCUCUCAUGACCAGAUGCAAGCAGAGCCCUAGGCUGGAUGCCCAGGCUGUCUCCCGUGGUGGUGUAUCAUGGCUAUCACUGUGCAUCAGCAGAGCACUGGGACUCUAGUUGAUUGGGUGAUAUUUCACUUGGAGACCAUCCUCCCUUCGCUGGUGACCUCAUCAUCAGUCACAUGUCACCACACUGGAGAAAUUAAAUCUCGACCUUGGUGGCAACACUAGUCUCCACCUAUUGAUGGACAGCUCCUUUGUCCUUCAGCUGCCCUUUAGCUGUGCAGAGGUCCUAUUAAGCCAUCAAAGCCCACAGCUACCAUGUGGGCAUGUCCAACAUGAAGGAACAAAACAGCUUUGGAGGGGGGAUAAGAUUUCCUUUCCUUGUUACUUCAUUCUUUUUCAUUCGUAGGAAAUGGGAUGCCUCUUCAAAGAGAAUGCUCUUUGAGAGAAGAAGGUUGAAAGAAAUGAGUCACUGGGAGAUCAGGGCUAUUUAUUGUGGAUAUUUGUCUCUUGAAGGCUCUUAGAAUGUGUGUAUCUAUUAGAACCAUGAUCAUUGACAACAUGGCUUCUCUUUUAUUUGGUGUUAGGCUGCACUUCUCUGCAGAAUACCUUGGCUUCCAUUAAUUGCUUAACUUUGGAAACUUAACCAAGCAGGGAAGAGGGAGGCUAUGUGGGGAAAGAGAGGGCUGGAGCACAGCAACCCCAAUGAGACCUGAGGCAAUCUCAGAUCUCAGUUUCCCCUGCUGGAGAAUGGGGCUGGAGGUAACGCUUACCACACUGACUGGUUACAAGGAGUCAAGGAGUAAUGUAUGAAAGAUAGCUGCUGCUUCGUCAGUGCCACAGAGGGUUUUGUUGAAUAAUUAAUAGGCUCUGUCUGUCACUAAGAAUGUCUUAAUGGUUUACUGGCACUUCUUUGGGCCAGGCACUGUGUUUCACGUGCUUUAAAUUUUUUCAUUUGAUCUUUACAGUAAUUUAUAAUAGUAUCCUCAUUGUACAGAGAGAAAAAUCAAGGUUUAGGACUAGUAACUAGGUUACUAGGUAUAGGUUGAUACAGCUAGCAAGUGGCAUAACCCACAGAAGCUUUCAGUGUAUUUUUACUCCCCAAAACCUUGCACACAAGGAUGAACCCUUGAACCAGAAUACACAGCUUUGAUAAACUGUAUCUGAUAGAGGAGCGGAGGCCUGGAUUUGAAAACUGGUUCUACCGCCUACUGAUUCUGUGACGUGGGGAAGCUUAUUUAUCCCCAGCACUCAGUUUCUCAUGUUUGAUGGAUGCUCAGAGAUUCUGCUCCCUAAGGUGAUCCUGAGGAUUGGCCGAGAUGCAGAUCAACAAUGUCUCACAAAUAAUGUGUCUCAAUCUGUUCAGUGAAACUUGGCUGGGACUGAGGUGAGGGUUAUUGGAUUGGAGAAUCUCCUUAAGGAUGGGUUUGUACUGUAUUAAAUAAACCAGGCUGCUGUCAUAGAAGAACCAACUACUGCAAUUUGUCCCACUCCUUCUGAGUCCUACAAGUUCAGGCCUAGAGUCUGCACGAGAAACUGCUUAGUGUUUUCAAGUAAUCGGCCACCACAACAACCAAGAGAGUUUGUUGUAAAUGCCAAUAGUGAUAGACUGAAUUUGAGGAAAAAAAAAAAAAAGAAGAAGAAGAGGGGGGGAUUUAUUGACCAGAGAAAAAACAAGCCAAAGCCUUGGCUAAUUUGUGUAAUCAGCUUUAUCAAUUUGCAUAAAUUGUGCAUCAGGCUAUAUUCCUCUUGGGCAUAAUAAGCCCAAAUUUAGUUUUUCUAAUUUUAAAGUCAUCAGUCGCUUUUUUUUGCUUCUUCUGUUCCUUUCUGGGACUCGUGUGGGUCACACCUCCAUGCAUCUGUCAGGUGGUCUAUGAGUCCCUAAUUCUCAGGGACCCUGUCAGUGCCCGGCUAUAGCAUCUAAUGCUUAUUUUCCAAAAUUGGUCCAGCCUCGACCCUCUACCCUCCCCACUAAUUCAUGCCUUUUUGUCUAGAUUUCAUAUGCCCCUUUUUUUGUUAUGUCUUCAUUCAGAUUAAAAUCUUUGAAAUAUUUUAAAAUGAACCCCUUCCACUUGCUGUGCCUUUCUGCCACAUCCUUUCAAAUUACUCUGGCCAAUUCUAGAUUGUUCCCUAGCAGGCUCUCUGCCUUAGAUUCUCUGCCUCAGAUUCCAUUGCUUCCUCUCCUUACUUCUUUCUCAACACUCAUUAUUUCUGCUAAGGGUCUCUAAACAGUUCUAAAGGGUCUCAGAAGGCUUUGCUUCUGCUUUGAGAUUAUAAGAUGGAUUGCAAUAUUGAGCAUCUUUUCAUGUGCUUUUUGGCCAUCUGUCUGUCUUCUUUGGGGGAAGAGGGAUGAAUUAGGAGGUUAGGAUUGAUAUAUACACACUACUAUAUAUAAACUAAACAGGUAACCAGAACAUACUGUAUUGCACAGAGCAAUCAAUACUGUGUAAUAAUCUAUAUGGGAAAAGAAUCUGAAAAGGAAUGGAUACGUGUGUGUGUGUGUGUGUGUGUGUGUGUGUGAUUCACUUUGCUAUACACCUGAAACUAACACAACUUUGUAAGUCAACUAUAUUCUAAUAAAA
Molecule: long non-coding RNA, 2712 nt
Filed under: Sus scrofa (pig)
Lineage: Eukaryota; Metazoa; Chordata; Mammalia; Artiodactyla; Suidae
Description: lncRNA (ENSSSCG00000043505.2)
Source: RNAcentral